This 500-nucleotide ribosomal RNA is filed under the name uncultured bacterium. RNAcentral describes it as "bacterial SSU rRNA". It matches the Rfam family "Bacterial small subunit ribosomal RNA", at positions 30 to 518 of the family's 1533-position model. The record is from RNAcentral.
CGAACGCUGGCGGCGCGUUUAAGCAUGCAAGUCGAGCGGCAAGGGCCUUCGGGCCCCUAGAGCGGCGGACGGGUGAGUAACACGUGGACAAUCUGCCCCCCGGCCCGGGAUAGCCCAGGGAAACCUGGAUUAAUACCGGAUGAGACGGGACCCGCGAUGGCGGGAUCCGGGAAAGGCGCGUGCGGCGCCGCCGGGGGAUGAGUCUGCGUCCCAUUAGCUAGACGGCGGGGUAACGGCCCACCGUGGCGACGAUGGGUAGCCGGGCCUGAGAGGGUGGACGGCCACAUUGGAACUGAGACACGGUCCAGACUCCUACGGGAGGCAGGCAGCUAAGAAUCUUCCGCAAUGGGCGAAAGCCUGACGGAGCCGACGCCGCGUGAACGAAGAAGGCCGUGAGGUUGUAAAGUUCUUUUCGGGAGGGGAACAACCGUGGCAGGGAAUGGCCGCGGGAUGACGUGAAUCCCGGAAUAAGCCCCGGCUAACUACGUGCCAGCCGCCGC